This 647-nucleotide long non-coding RNA is filed under the name Anser brachyrhynchus (Pink-footed goose). Its description in RNAcentral is "lncRNA (ENSABRG00000014143.1)". Lineage: Eukaryota; Metazoa; Chordata; Aves; Anseriformes; Anatidae. The record is from RNAcentral.
GGUGUGGUGAACUCGGGGUCGGCCUCUUCUCACAGGUAACUAGUGAUAGGACUAGAGGGAAUGGCAUCAAGUUGUGCCAGGGGAGGUUUAGGUUGGAAAUUAGGAGAUAUUUCUUCUCAGAAAGAGCAGUCAGGCAUUGGGACAGGUUGCCCAGGGAGGUGGUGGCAUCACUGUCCCUUGGGGUGUUCAAGGCAAGGUUGGACGUGGUGCUUAGGGACAUCGUUUAGUGGGUGACAUUGGUGGUAGGGGGAUGGUUGGACCAGAUGGUCCUGGAUGUCUUUUCCAACCUUAAUGAUUCUAUGAUUCACGAUUGCCACAGAUGUUCCCCAGCACUCCCAGUGAGCAGGGGUCAAAUGCAGGCUUCUCCCGGAGCCCCCAGCAUCAUCCGGAACCAUCGUGUGUGUGGGGAUGUAGCCUCACAUCGUGGGCCAUACCGCCAUCCAUGGGUUGGAGCUCCUCGUAACCACCAGGGAGCUGAAAGCAGCAAUGCGGCUGCAAGGAUUGGCAGAAGGGAGCUGCUUCAAGGCUUUAUGAUUAAAUGGAGCUGCUGUAACACACUGCAGUUGGAAAAGGAUCCCCAGAGAUCCCACAUCUCUGUUUACCACCUCAUUUCUGGAGUCUGCCAUGUCCUCUGCUCCGUUGAGUAA